GUCCUUUUGAGUGUAUAUAAGGUCUGACCUGCCCAGUGAUUUAUUUUAACGGCCGCGGUAUAUUGACCGUGCAAAGGUAGCAUAAUCAUUAGUCUUUUAAAAGAGGGCUGGAAUGAAAGGUUUGACGAGGUAUUGACUGUCUCAUUUUAUUUGGAUUUAGAAUUUAACUUUUUAGUCAAAAGGCUUAAAUUUAAUUGGAAGACGAGAAGACCCUAUAGAGCUUUAUAUUAAUUAUUUUAAUUAUAAGUAUAUAAUUUUUAAUUAAAUGAGUUAUUAUUUUGUUGGGGUGACAAAAAAAUAGAACUAACUUUUUUAUUUAUUUAACAUUAAUUUAUGGUUAUUUGAUCCAUUAUUAUUGAUUAUUAGAUUAAGUUACCUUAGGGAUAACAGCGUAAUCCCCUCCCAGAGUUCAUAUUUACGAGUGGGGCUUGCGACCUCGAUGUUGGAUUAAGAUAAUAAUUAGGUGUAGCCGCUUAAUUUAUAGGUCUGUUCGACCUUUAAAUUCUU
RNAcentral lists this ribosomal RNA (507 nucleotides) under Somatochlora viridiaenea. RNAcentral describes it as "partial 16S rRNA". It matches the Rfam family "Bacterial large subunit ribosomal RNA", at positions 1825 to 2597 of the family's 2925-position model. Lineage: Eukaryota; Metazoa; Arthropoda; Insecta; Odonata; Corduliidae. The record is from RNAcentral.